CCUACGGGAGGCAGCAGUGGGGAAUAUUGCACAAUGGGCGAAAGCCUGAUGCAGCGAUGCCGCGUGUGGGAUGAAGGCCUUCGGAUUGUAAACCACUGUCAGCAGGGAAGAACGGUCACUGUGUUAAUCAGCUGUGAGUUGACGGUACCUGCAAAGGAAGCACCGGCUAACUCCGUGCCAGCAGCCGCGGUAAUACGGAGGGUGCGAGCGUUAAUCGGAAUUACUGGGCGUAAAGCGCUCGUAGGCGGUAUGUCAAGUCAAGGGUGAAAUCCCCGGGCUUAACGUGGGAACUGCAUUUGAGACUGGCAAACUAGAGUGUGUGAGAGGAGAGUGGAAUUCCAGGUGUAGGAGUGAAAUCCGUAGAUAUCUGGAGGAACAUCAGUGGCGAAGGCGACUAUCUGGCACAUAACUGACGCUGAGGAGCGAAAGCGUGGGUAGCAAACAGGAUUAGAUACCCGAGUAGUC
This 465-nucleotide ribosomal RNA is filed under the name uncultured bacterium. Its description in RNAcentral is "partial 16S ribosomal RNA". It matches the Rfam family "Bacterial small subunit ribosomal RNA", at positions 338 to 795 of the family's 1533-position model. The record is from RNAcentral.